RNAcentral lists this unclassified non-coding RNA (342 nucleotides) under soil metagenome. RNAcentral describes it as "partial contains 5.8S ribosomal RNA, internal transcribed spacer 2, and large subunit ribosomal RNA". The stretch from base 1 to 120 matches the Rfam family "5.8S ribosomal RNA", at positions 35 to 154 of the family's 154-position model. The record is from RNAcentral.
GAUGAAGAACGCAGCGAAAUGCGAUAAGUAAUGUGAAUUGCAGAAUUCAGUGAAUCAUCGAAUCUUUGAACGCACAUUGCGCCCGCCAGCACUCUGGCGGGCAUGCCUGUUCGAGCGUCAUUUCAACCAUCAAGCCCCCAGGGGCUUGUGCUGGGGCCCUGCGGCUGCCCGCAGGCCCUGAAAACCAGUGGCGGGCUCGCUAGUCACACCGAGCGCAGUAGCACAUCUCGCUCAGGGAGUGCGGCGGGCUCCUGCCGUGAAACCCCCCACUGUAACCCCAAAGGUUGACCUCGGAUCAGGUAGGAAUACCCGCUGAACUUAAGCAUAUCAAUAAGCGGAGGA